Molecule: ribosomal RNA, 468 nt
Filed under: uncultured bacterium
Lineage: Bacteria
Description: partial 16S ribosomal RNA
Rfam family: Bacterial small subunit ribosomal RNA
Source: RNAcentral
GACGAACGCUGGCGGCGUGCUUAACACAUGCAAGUCGAACGGAAAGGCCCUGCUUUUGUGGGGUGCUCGAGUGGCGAACGGGUGAGUAACACGUGAGUAACCUGCCCUUGACUUUGGGAUAACUUCGGGAAACUGGGGCUAAUACCGGAUAGGAGCUCCUGCUGCAUGGUGGGGGUUGGAAAGUUUCGGCGGUUGGGGAUGGACUCGCGGCUUAUCAGCUUGUUGGUGGGGUAGUGGCUUACCAAGGCUUUGACGGGUAGCCGGCCUGAGAGGGUGACCGGCCACAUUGGGACUGAGAUACGGCCCAGACUCCUACGGGAGGCAGCAGUGGGGAAUAUUGCACAAUGGGCGGAAGCCUGAUGCAGCAACGCCGCGUGCGGGAUGACGGCCUUCGGGUUGUAAACCGCUUCCGCCUGUGACGAAGCGUGAGUGACGGUAAUGGGUAAAGAAGCACCGGCUAACUACGUG